UGUGCCUGGUGGCUGCAGCUAGGCAGCUGGAGGGUUCCUGAACAGCGGCCCAGCCGGGCCCCUGCCAGCGAGGGUGGAAAACAAGCAAAGGGCGCCCUGCCUGUCACCCCCAGGGCCCUGGGGGCCUGGCCAAGCCAGGAAAGGAGACGGAGAUGGUGAAAGAAACAGAGACUGAGACAGAGAGAUGGUAAACAAGAGAGAUGGUUGGGGCGUUCUUGGAAAAAUGAGGUUAGGAGGUGAAGAAGAGCCAGUCACAGAGAAGAAGAGCCUUUCAGCAGAGGGAACCACAUGUGCAAAGGUCCUGAGAGUUCUGGAGACUGGGAUCUUGUGUCUUGCACACCAGGGCGACAGGGGAGCUCACCCCUCCUGAGGCUAUUUUGGAGGUCUGGGUGACCUGGUCUGUGCUGUGGGUACAUCUCUCUUCUGCGGGGCCCAAAGGAACCCCAAAUCUGACGGGUUCAAAGCUGGAUGCCAGGUCAGCUGCCGAGGGCAGACGCCGCUGGACAGGGAGGGCUGGGCAAAACCCGGGGCCGGAAGUCGGUGGGGAUCAGGACCCAAAUUCACACCACGGGUGGCAGACAACUGAGGCUGUGGCAGGGAGGUGUCCCAAGAGUCUCGGGGGAGGAAACUGGCUCAGAGCCACGUGACUUGCCCUUGCCCGUAGGUCACUCAGAAAGCUAAGCCUGAACCCAUACCUGCCAGGGUCCAGGCCCUGGGUGCCCUCGUCCUCCUCCCUGUUCCUCGGCCCCGCCAAUGGUCACCCCAGACUGCCAGUUAAUUCUCAGUGCCUGGGGCAAAUGGGUGAACACAGCCGGGACUAUUAAAACGGGGUUCUAAUUGGGCCCAGCCCUGUGGGGGCGGGGCCUCGGGGCGGGGGCGGGGCCUGAGCGCCGGCUCUGGCUGGGAGCCCCUCCAGGAGCCGACCUGUGAGCCUGGCGGUUCCGAGUGGGGACUCCGGACCCUGCACGAGUCACCUCACUCCACUGGACUCCCUUUCCCUACCCGCAGCUCCAGAAGAAUGAUGACCUCCAUGCCAACAAAUCCUUGCACACGCAUGCCCAAAGCAGCCCUGUUCGCCGUUGCCCAAAUGUCUAUCGAGGGGUGAAGGGAGAAUCCAAAUGUAGUCCAUCCACGCUAAAGAAUAUUAUUUGGCCACAAAACGUUACAAAACGUUGACGAAAUGCUGCCACGUGGGUGAAAACGUGGACGUUUAUGCUGAGUGCAAGCCCGGCCGGAGAGGCCACACGGAGCAUGAUCCCAUCCACGUGAAAUGCCCAGAACAGGAAAACCCACAGAGGCGGGAAGCAGAUGAGUGGGUGCCAGGAGUGAG
Felis catus (domestic cat) is the source of this 1330-nucleotide long non-coding RNA. RefSeq lists it as uncharacterized. The record is from RefSeq and is a predicted model, not a curated record. Lineage: Eukaryota; Metazoa; Chordata; Mammalia; Carnivora; Felidae. The transcript is spliced from 3 exons.